Sander lucioperca (pikeperch) is the source of this 183-nucleotide long non-coding RNA. RefSeq lists it as uncharacterized. NCBI's taxonomy places the organism in Eukaryota, Metazoa, Chordata, Actinopteri, Perciformes, Percidae. The record is from RefSeq and is a predicted model, not a curated record. The transcript is spliced from 3 exons.
AAUGGUAGAUACUUUUAACCCUUGUGUUGUCUUCGGGUCAAAUUUGACCCGUUUUCUAAAUGUCUAUAUCAGAAAUAUGCGUUUCUUCAUAACUACCUAAUUUGGAUUACCCCAAAAAUAACACAGAUGAUUCAAUACAACGCGCUGCGCAAGUACAACAAAAGAUCGGAUCUCUACUUUCAU